GUGCUCACUUCAGCUGCACACAUAAUAAAAUUAGAACAAUACAGAGAAGAUUAGCAUUGCCCCUGGGCAAGGAUCACAUGCAAAUUCAUCAAGCAUUUCAAAAUUAA
Small nuclear RNA from Suncus etruscus (white-toothed pygmy shrew), 107 nucleotides. The record is from RefSeq and is a predicted model, not a curated record. Lineage: Eukaryota; Metazoa; Chordata; Mammalia; Eulipotyphla; Soricidae.